RNAcentral lists this long non-coding RNA (739 nucleotides) under Brassica rapa (field mustard). RNAcentral describes it as "long non-coding RNA (BRAP_LNC003794)". The record is from RNAcentral. Lineage: Eukaryota; Viridiplantae; Streptophyta; Magnoliopsida; Brassicales; Brassicaceae.
AAAUGAGUCACACUUUUAGACCAAAAAAAACGAGUCACCCUUUUCUCUUUCAGGCUUUGAUUGAAUGGUAUGUUUAGCAGAACUUUUAUCGGUGGAAAAUUAUUACUCUGAGUUACUUUAUGAAGUAGCCAAUCAGGUAAAUUUGCCUUUUUUUAUAUUUACUCUAAUUACUAUUCAGACAAAAGAAUUCUUACUCACAUUGUUGCGCUAGGUUUUAGUGGGUGUAACUCUUUUUUUGCUUUUCCUCAUUUUCUCACUUUUUUAUUUUUUUUUUCCCAUUUUCUUCUUAUUUCUUUUUUUCAUUUACUCUAAAAAUUGCCAGCCACACUCUCAGUUUUAGAAGAGUAAAACUAAUAACUAGGCAUGGGCGUUCUGCGUUCGGAUAUUCGGGUCUGGUUCGGACAUGUUCCUUUUGGAUUUGGAUCUUUCGGAUCCUAGACAUUUGGACCCAAUAGUUACUUGUGAAUUGUUGGUUCGGAUUCGGAUUCGGAUCGGUUCUUUUUGAAUUCGGAUCGAUUUGGAUCGAUAAUUAAAAUACCUAUAAAAUAUCUGUAAUUUUGGUUACAUAUCGAGUCUGGGUCGGAUUCGAAUAUUUAUGAUGUGAAAAGGACACGAAAUACUCAAAAACCCAUCAAAUUUAAUCAAAACAUGUCAUAUAUAUCUAAAAUUUUACAAUAACUUAAAAUAAACUAUUAAUAAUUACAAAAAUUAUUUUUAAACCCAUCAAAUUUAAUCAAAA